GGGUGUGGUUUCUAAUCGCUGCUCUCCACCAGGAGGAAUAAGAAAAGCAAGAAAGACUGUUUAACAUGAUAAAGGAGGUGGGCUGAGAGCAGCAGAUACAAGGCAAUGGGAAUUUACUUUAAUUACUGGAAGCAUAUCCGUUUUUUGUCCUUUAAUCUAAAAGAGAGCCCCCCUUUAGCAGGGAUUCCAAACUACUUCCAGAAAAAGGGAGUGGGUCUACAUUUACUGAAAUUUGUAGCACACGUUUUUUUAAUUCUGGGGGUGGGGGGGCACUGCUUAUUAAGAACCACCCCCUCCUUCUGUCAGAAAGCUUACCUUCCCACCAGUUCAGUCAACCAAUCCCAGCCCUUGGGCUCUAUGGCAAAUGUUUAUGUCCGGUCUAUAAGGCCACCUCUAACUUAUUCAAGACAAGCGGGCCAGCUGGCUCUAAGAGGGAUGAGAAUGACCGCAGCGAGCUGCCCACGGCUUGCUGAGCAAGGGUAAGGAGGCACACGAAAUUCCUGGCUCCCUAACCGUGUCAUCUGGGGGAUGGUCCUAACCACAUCAUAUUCUACUCCCGGAGAGGACUUGAGGAGGCUAGACACAGAAGGAGCAGAUGGCCUCUGGCCUCUGAGUGUCCUGGACAUUUUAAGCACUCUAAGAAGAAACCACCUAAAAAAGAAGGCUCUCCCUACACCUUCCCAGUCACAGCAGCCCUUCACUGUUCACAUUAAUAAAACAAAAGCAAAAAAACAAAAA
This 738-nucleotide long non-coding RNA is filed under the name Rattus norvegicus (Norway rat). RNAcentral's name for it is "long non-coding RNA NONRATT030100". The record is from RNAcentral. Lineage: Eukaryota; Metazoa; Chordata; Mammalia; Rodentia; Muridae.